RNAcentral lists this ribosomal RNA (455 nucleotides) under Neogonodactylus oerstedii. RNAcentral describes it as "partial 16S ribosomal RNA". It matches the Rfam family "Bacterial large subunit ribosomal RNA", at positions 1955 to 2607 of the family's 2925-position model. The record is from RNAcentral. Lineage: Eukaryota; Metazoa; Arthropoda; Malacostraca; Stomatopoda; Gonodactylidae.
GGUAGCAUAAUCAUUAGUCUCCUAAUUAGAGGCUUGUAUGAAUGGUCGGACAAGAUAGGAACUGUCUCAAUAUAAAAAAUAAAAUUUAAUAUUUAAGUAAAAAAGCUUAAAUAAUUUAGAGGGACGAUAAGACCCUAUAAAGCUUUAUGGUAAUAUUUUUGUAUAUAAAAUAUUUCAUGUAACUUAUUAAAAAAUAAACACCAUUUUACUGGGGCGGUAAAAGUAUAUUUUUGAUUAACUGCUUUUGUUGUUGAAAACAGUUGUAGCUGAAUAAUAAAUUGAUCCAUUAUUAAUGAUCACAAGUACAAGUUACUUUAGGGAUAACAGCGUAAUUUUUCUUGAGAGUCCUUAUCGAAAGAAAAGUUUGCGACCUCGAUGUUGAAUUAAGGAAGCCUUAAGGUGCAGCAGUUUUAAAUAGGCAGAUCUGUUCGAUCUUUAAAUCUUUACAUGAUUUG